AAAGUGGGUCGGACGAUCGCUGGGGCCGAAAGGCCAUCAGAGGAAGGUCCGGACUCCAUUGGAUAGGGUGCUGGCUAACGGCCAGGCGCAGCGAGUUGCGGUUGUCUUCGGUCAGCCAAAACCCAAGGCGACGGAAAGUGGCACAGAAAACAAACCGCCCGCUGGGUUUCGGCCCCGCGGGUAAGGGUGAAAAGGUGGGGUAAGAGCCCACCGCGGCGCUGGUGACAGCGCUGGCAGGCUAA
Molecule: RNase P RNA, 242 nt
Filed under: Betaproteobacteria bacterium
Lineage: Bacteria; Pseudomonadati; Pseudomonadota; Betaproteobacteria
Description: partial RNase P RNA component class A
Rfam family: Bacterial RNase P class A
About the family: Ribonuclease P (RNase P) is a ubiquitous endoribonuclease, found in archaea, bacteria and eukarya as well as chloroplasts and mitochondria. Its best characterised activity is the generation of mature 5'-ends of tRNAs by cleaving the 5'-leader elements of precursor-tRNAs.
Source: RNAcentral